UCCUACGGGAGGCAGCAGUGAGGAAUAUUGGGCAAUGCCCGAAAGGGUGACCCAGCAACGCCGCGUGGAGGAUGAAUGCCGUAAGGUUGUAAACUCCUGUUAGAGGGGAAGAAAAAUCUCGAUCAAAUCGGGAACUGACUUACCCUCCUAGAAAGCCCCCCUUUCCC
This 167-nucleotide ribosomal RNA is filed under the name uncultured bacterium. Its description in RNAcentral is "partial 16S ribosomal RNA". It matches the Rfam family "Bacterial small subunit ribosomal RNA", at positions 337 to 502 of the family's 1533-position model. The record is from RNAcentral.